This 484-nucleotide ribosomal RNA is filed under the name uncultured bacterium. RNAcentral describes it as "partial 16S ribosomal RNA". It matches the Rfam family "Bacterial small subunit ribosomal RNA", at positions 29 to 523 of the family's 1533-position model. The record is from RNAcentral.
AGUGAACGCUGGCGGCGUGCUUAACACAUGCAAGUCGAACGAGAACGGGUUAUAGCUUGCUAUAAUUGUCAGCUAAGUGGCGCACGGGUGAGUAAUGUAUAGGUAAUAUGCCUCUUACUAAGGGAUAACAAAUGGAAACGUUUGCUAAUACCUUAUACUCCUUUUAAACAGAAGUUUAAAAGGGAAAGAUUUAUUGGUAAGAGAUUAGCCUGUAUUGUAUCAGUUAGUUGGUGGGGUAAUGGCUUACCAAGACUAUGACACAUAACUGGUUUGAGAGGAUGAUCAGUCACACUGGAACUGAGACACGGUCCAGACUCCUACGGGAGGCAGCAGUGGGGAAUAUUGCACAAUGGACGGAAGUCUGAUGCAGCAACGCCGCGUGGAGGAUGACACAUUUCGGUGCGUAAACUCCUUUUAUAAGAGAAGAUAAUGACGGUAUUAUAUGAAUAAGCACCGGCUAACUCCGUGCCAGCCGCCGCGGUAA